UGCUUUACACAUGCAAGUCGAACGGCAGCACGGGGCAACCUGGUGGCGAGUGGCGAACGGGUGAGUAACAUAUCGGAACAUAUCCGGAAGUGGGGGAUAGCUCGGCGAAAGCCGGAUUAAUACCGCAUAUGCCCUGAGGGGGAAAGGAGGGGAUCCGCAAGGACCUUUCGCUUUCGGAGUGGCCGAUAUCGGAUUAGCUAGUUGGUGGGGUAAAGGCCCACCAAGGCGACGAUCCGUAGCUGGUCUGAGAGGACGACCAGCCACACUGGAACUGAGACACGGUCCAGACUCCUACGGGAGGCAGCAGUGGGGAAUUUUGGACAAUGGGCGCAAGCCUGAUCCAGCCAUACCGCGUGAGUGAAGAAGGCCUUCGGGUUGUAAAGCUC
This 386-nucleotide ribosomal RNA is filed under the name uncultured organism. RNAcentral describes it as "bacterial SSU rRNA". It matches the Rfam family "Bacterial small subunit ribosomal RNA", at positions 45 to 433 of the family's 1533-position model. The record is from RNAcentral.